This 1538-nucleotide ribosomal RNA is filed under the name Shewanella putrefaciens. RNAcentral's name for it is "16S ribosomal RNA". Lineage: Bacteria; Pseudomonadati; Pseudomonadota; Gammaproteobacteria; Alteromonadales; Shewanellaceae. The record is from RNAcentral.
CAAUGCCAAUGCAAGUACAUGUUUGUGCAGCAAAAGCUGGCGUGGAUAUGUUAACGCGAACCUUAGCGAUUGAGUGGGGUUGUGAAGAUUUACGAAUAAACUCUAUCGUACCAGGUCCGAUUGCUGAGACCGAAGGUUUUAAUCGUCUUGCACCGAGUGCUGCAUUGCAGCAAAGCGUUGCUCAAUCUGUACCCUUAAAGCGUAAUGGCACGGGACAGGAUAUUGCUAAUGCGGCCUUAUUUUUAGGCUCUGAAUUAGCCUCCUAUAUCACAGGCGUUGUUCUGCCAGUUGAUGGUGGUUGGUCACUCGGUGGAGCGAGUAUUGCGAUGACAGAGUUGAGUGAACGGGCUGCAAAAAUGUAGUUUGGUGUUAGAUUCUAGAUAUUCAAAAUCGAGAACGUUGAUUUUAUAUAGAUUAAGUAGGUAAUGAUCCAUGGCUAACGCAUUACAAGAGCAGCUACUGAAAGCAGGGCUGGCCAGUAAACAAAAAGUUCGAGACGUUAAGACCCAAAAACGUCGUGAUAAAAAAGCACGAGUAGAUGACGGUUCAGCGGCAUUAAAGCAAGAAGUAGCUGAGCAAAAACGGCUGCAGGCGGAAAAAGAUCGAGCGCUAAAUGAACAGCGUUUUGCAGAAGCAUCUGAGCGUGGACAGGUGCGUGGUUUAAUCACUGAGUUCACUAAGUCUGCGAUUAAAAUCCCUGCUUAUGCAGAAGUGAAAUUUAACUAUACUCUCGAUAAUAAAAUCUAUUCUUUAUAUAUAGAUGAAAAGAUCCAAGCGGAGUUACUCAAAGGGCAAUUGGGUAUUAUUAGAUAUGAAGAAAAGAGUUAUCUUGUGCCACAUAAGUUAGCUGAACGGGUUAACUUGCUCGUGCCUCAAUGGUGUGGCUAUUUGUGGAAGCAUGAUGAAUCUAAAGAGGUUGUUGUUGAAGAUGAUCCUUAUGCUGAUUAUGCUAUUCCAGAUGAUUUAAUGUGGUAAAUCAUCAUCUAAUCGUGAGCUAACGCGAAGACACUCUGGGUGGUAACCCGAUAGAAUAAUGACCCUUAAGGAAACUUAAGGGUUUUUUAUACGUUAAAUUUAUGCCUAUACAGAAUAGUGUGGCAACUUUUAGUCGUGGUAUCACGAUUGUUUUCUGUAGUGAACUGGUAUAAAUUAAAACAACUGUUUUAAUCCUACGUUUAAGAGUCUACCAAUGAAUCCUUACCAAGCCCCGUUGACGGAUAUGCGUUUCCUACUGGAACAGGUAUUUGAUGCCCCAAACACUUGGGCACAAUUGCCUGAGAUUGCUGAAAUGGUCGAUAUUGGCACUGCUAAUGCCAUCCUUGAAGAAGCCGCUAAGAUCAGCAGUCAGUUAAUCCAUCCGCUUAAUCGGACGGGCGAUGAGCAGGGCGUGUUGCAUCAAGACAAUCAAGUGAUUACCCCUGAUGGCUAUAAAUCCGUUUAUGAGCAGUAUUCCCAGGGCGGUUGGAUUGGUUUGUGUGGCGAUCCUGAAUUUGGUGGCAUGGGCAUGCCGAAAAUGUUGGGGAUCUUAGUUGACGAAA